RNAcentral lists this ribosomal RNA (468 nucleotides) under uncultured bacterium. RNAcentral describes it as "partial 16S ribosomal RNA". It matches the Rfam family "Bacterial small subunit ribosomal RNA", at positions 28 to 507 of the family's 1533-position model. The record is from RNAcentral.
GACGAACGCUGGCGGCGUGCUUAACACAUGCAAGUCGAACGGAAAGGCCCUGCUUUUGUGGGGUGCUCGAGUGGCGAACGGGUGAGUAACACGUGAGUAACCUGCCCUUGACUUUGGGAUAACUUCAGGAAACUGGGGCUAAUACCGGAUAGGAGCUCCUGCUGCAUGGUGGGGGUUGGAAAGUUUCGGCGGUUGGGGAUGGACUCGCGGCUUAUCGGCUUGUUGGUGGGGUAGUGGCUUACCAAGGCUUUGACGGGUAGCCGGCCUGAGAGGGUGACCGGCCACAUUGGGACUGAGAUACGGCCCAGACUCCUACGGGAGGCAACGGUGGGGAAUAUUGCACAGUGGGCGGAAGCCUGAUGCGGCAACGCCGCGUGCGGGAUGACGGCCUUCGGGUUGUAAACCGCUUUCGCCUGUGACGAAGCGUGAGUGACGGUAAUGGGUAAAGAAGCACCGGCUAACUACGUG